RNAcentral lists this ribosomal RNA (528 nucleotides) under uncultured bacterium. RNAcentral's name for it is "partial 16S ribosomal RNA". It matches the Rfam family "Bacterial small subunit ribosomal RNA", at positions 355 to 874 of the family's 1533-position model. The record is from RNAcentral.
UGGGGAAUAUUGCACAAUGGGCGCAAGCCUGAUGCAGCCAUGCCGCGUGUGUGAAGAAGGCCUUCGGUUGUAAGCACUUUCAGCGAGGAGGAAGGUGGUGAGCUUAAUACGCUCAUCAAUUGACGUUACUCGCAGAAGAAGCACCGGCUAACUCCGUGCCAGCAGCCGCGGUAAUACGGAGGGUGCAAGCGUUAAUCGGAAUUACUGGGCGUAAAGCGCACGCAGGCGGUUUGUUAAGUCAGAUGUGAAAUCCCCGGGCUCAACCUGGGAACUGCAUUUGAAACUGGCAAGCUAGAGUCUCGUAGAGGGGGGUAGAAUUCCAGGUGUAGCGGUGAAAUGCGUAGAGAUCUGGAGGAAUACCGGUGGCGAAGGCGGCCCCCUGGACGAAGACUGACGCUCAGGUGCGAAAGCGUGGGGCAGCAAACAGGAUUAGAUACCCUGGUAGUCCACGCUGUAAACGAUGUCGAUUUUGGAGGUUGUGCCCUUGAGGCGUGGCUUCCGGAGCUAACGCGUUAAAGUCGACCGCCU